GUGCAGCAACCGCGGUAAUACGUAGGGGGCGAGCGUUAUCCGGAAUUACUGGGCGUAAAGGGCGAGUAGGCGGUCUGUUCAGUCAGGUGUGAAAUUUCAGGGCUCAACCCUGAAACUGCGCUUGAAACUGGCAGGCUAGAGGACAGGAGAGGGAAGUGGAAUUCCCGGUGUAGCGGUGGAAUGCGUAGAUAUCGGGAGGAACACCAGUGGCGAAGGCGGCUUCCUGGACUGUACCUGACGCUGAGGAGCGAAAGCUGGGGGAGCAAACAGGAUUAGAUACCCUGGUAGUCCCAGCUGUAAACGAUGAGUGCUAGGUGUGGAGGGCUACAAUCCUCCGUGCCGCAGUUAACGCAAUAAGCACUCCGCCUGGGGAGUACGGCCGCAAGGCUAAAACUCAAAGAAAUUGGCGG
This 410-nucleotide ribosomal RNA is filed under the name uncultured bacterium. Its description in RNAcentral is "bacterial SSU rRNA". It matches the Rfam family "Bacterial small subunit ribosomal RNA", at positions 505 to 916 of the family's 1533-position model. The record is from RNAcentral.